Molecule: ribosomal RNA, 395 nt
Filed under: uncultured bacterium
Lineage: Bacteria
Description: bacterial SSU rRNA
Rfam family: Bacterial small subunit ribosomal RNA
Source: RNAcentral
UAAGACAGAGGUGGCAAGCGUUGUUCGGAAUUACUGGGCUUAAAGGGCGCGUAGGCGGUGGAGUAAGUCCGGGGUGGAAGUCUAAGGCUCAACCUUAGGAUUGCCCUGGAAACUGCAUCACUUGAGUCAGCGAGGGGAUGGCGGAAUUCCCAGUGUAGCGGUGAAAUGCGUAGAUAUUGGGAGGAAGGCCGGUGGCGAAGGCGGCCAUCUGGCGCUGAACUGACGCUGAGGCGCGAAAGCGUGGGGAGCAAACAGGAUUAGAUACCCUGGUAGUCCACGCCCUAAACGGUGGGUACUAGGUGUAGGGCUCGUAAGGGUUCUGUGCCGAAGGGAAACCAUUAAGUACCCCGCCUGGGGAGUACGGCCGCAAGGUUGAAACUUAAAGGAAUUGACGG